UACGUAGGGACCGAGCGUUGUCCGGAUUCAUUGGGCGUAAAGAGCUCGUAGGCGGCCACUCAAGUCGAAUGUGAAACCUCGAGGCUUAACCUCGAGCCUGCAUUCGAUACUGGGCGGCUAGAGUCUGGUAGGGGGAUCUGGAAUUCCUGGUGUAGCGGUGGAAUGCGCAGAUAUCAGGAGGAACACCGGUGGCGAAGGCGGGAUCCUGGGCCAGUACUGAUGCUGAGGAGCGAAAGCGUGGGGAGCAAACAGG
RNAcentral lists this ribosomal RNA (253 nucleotides) under uncultured bacterium. RNAcentral describes it as "partial 16S ribosomal RNA". It matches the Rfam family "Bacterial small subunit ribosomal RNA", at positions 524 to 776 of the family's 1533-position model. The record is from RNAcentral.